AAGUAGUUUGACAUAUUCCAGGAAUUCAAGGAAGGAUCAUAAGAUUCAAAAGUUUGUUUAACAGAAACAAGGAUUGACGCUUGCCUCUUAAGGUAGAGAUUAUGUGAAGAAAGUGAAUGAGAAGAAGUGAAAAUCAAAACAAAUAGACAAGAGAAGAAAGCAAACUUCACACCAGCAGCCAUGAUAUGAAUUAAACCGAGAAAUGGGUUCUAAACAAUCCAAUACUUUUAAUAAAGAUUCAAGAAAAUCAGUGACCAUUUCAUGGCUUAUACUAAGGAGACAGAGAGAGGCCUAAUGAAUCUUAAAAAGGCAAAG
This 315-nucleotide unclassified non-coding RNA is filed under the name Hevea brasiliensis (rubber tree). The record is from RNAcentral. Lineage: Eukaryota; Viridiplantae; Streptophyta; Magnoliopsida; Malpighiales; Euphorbiaceae.